Molecule: unclassified non-coding RNA, 458 nt
Filed under: uncultured fungus
Lineage: Eukaryota; Fungi
Description: partial contains small subunit ribosomal RNA, internal transcribed spacer 1, and 5.8S ribosomal RNA
Rfam family: Eukaryotic small subunit ribosomal RNA (bases 1-73)
Source: RNAcentral
GCAAACUUGGUCAUUUAGAGGAAGUAAAAGUCGUAACAAGGUUUCCGUAGGUGAACCUGCGGAAGGAUCAUUACCAAUAUUAGCGAAUCUGACCUUUUGGGGUUAUGGUCUCGCGAAAACUUUGUAUUUAAAACCCCACUCUUAUUAAGAAAUGAAUCAUUUUUAUAUGUAAAUAAAUAAAGAUCACUUUCAACAACGGAUCUCUUGGCUCUCUAUAAGAGACAGGCAAACUUGGUCAUUUAGAGGAAGUAAAAGUCGUAACAAGGUUUCCGUAGGUGAACCUGCGGAAGGAUCAUUACCAAUAUUAGCGAAUCUGACCUUUUGGGGUUAUGGUCUCGCGAAAACUUUGUAUUUAAAACCCCACUCUUAUUAAGAAAUGAAUCAUUUUUAUAUGUAAAUAAAUAAAGAUCACUUUCAACAACGGAUCUCUUGGCUCUCGCAUCGAUGAAGAACGCAGC